Molecule: transfer RNA, 71 nt
Organism: Toxocara canis (dog roundworm)
Lineage: Eukaryota; Metazoa; Nematoda; Chromadorea; Rhabditida; Toxocaridae
Rfam family: tRNA
About the family: Transfer RNA (tRNA) molecules are approximately 80 nucleotides in length. Their secondary structure includes four short double-helical elements and three loops (D, anti-codon, and T loops).
Source: Rfam
GCGGCAGUAGCUCAGUGUUAGAGCCCCGCUUCGCAUGCGGGGAGACCUGGGUUUGAUUCCCGGCUGCUUCC